AGUUGCCAUCAGUUCGGCUGGGCACUCUAUGGAGACUGCCACCUAAAGUGGAGGAAGGUGGGGAUGACGUCAAGUCAGCAUGGCCCUUACGUCCGGGGCUACACACGUGCUACAAUGGCCGGUACAAAGGGUUGCGAAGCCGUGAGGUGGAGCGAAUCUCAAAAAGCCGGCCUCAGUUCGGAUUGGAGGCUGCAACUCGCCUCCAUGAAGUCGGAAUCGCUAGUAACCGCAGAUCAGCUACGUUGCGGUGAAUACGUUCCCGGGCCUC
This 268-nucleotide ribosomal RNA is filed under the name uncultured Geobacter sp. RNAcentral's name for it is "partial 16S ribosomal RNA". It matches the Rfam family "Bacterial small subunit ribosomal RNA", at positions 1113 to 1381 of the family's 1533-position model. Lineage: Bacteria; Pseudomonadati; Thermodesulfobacteriota; Desulfuromonadia; Geobacterales; Geobacteraceae. The record is from RNAcentral.